This 645-nucleotide unclassified non-coding RNA is filed under the name uncultured Prochlorococcus sp. Its description in RNAcentral is "partial 16S-23S ribosomal RNA intergenic spacer; may also contain 16S ribosomal RNA and 23S ribosomal RNA". The stretch from base 305 to 377 matches the Rfam family "tRNA". The record is from RNAcentral. Lineage: Bacteria; Bacillati; Cyanobacteriota; Cyanophyceae; Synechococcales; Prochlorococcaceae.
UUGUGGAGGAGGACGCCGAAGGUGGGGCUAAUGACUGGGGUGAAGUCGUAACAAGGUAGCCGUACCGGAAGGUGCGGCUGGAUCACCUCCUAACAGGGAGACAACAAAAUGUUUAAUAUUAUUAUUUUGUCACCUUAGGUCGAUCGGUAUCUCACUUUUUUAAUUUAUUAAGAAUUUCAUUUCCUAAGUUUUUCUAGGUCACACCCAUUAUUUUCCCUGGGCCAUUAGCUCAGGUGGUUAGAGCGCACCCCUGAUAAGGGUGAGGUCCCUGGUUCAAGUCCAGGAUGGCCCAUAUCUCUAUGUUGGGGGUAUAGCUCAGUUGGUAGAGCGCCUGCUUUGCAAGCAGGAUGUCAGCGGUUCGAGUCCGCUUACCUCCACUGAUUACCACCUCUUCCAUAAUUUGUAGAAGGGAAAUUUUUGAGUUGUGAUCAAAUUCUGAACGAAUCUAGCUUCCUAAUGAAAUUAUUAAGAUGCUGGACUCAUUGAAUUAUUUUCAUUGUUUUCAGAGAACCUUGACAACUGCAUAGAUUAUUUUUAAAGACAAUAAGCAUCUUUAAUGAUGCAGAUUUAUUAUUUGUGCGAAUGCAUUAAUAACAAUUCUAUUAAGCUGAUGCUUCUAUUUUGAAGUUAUUGGUCAAGCUACAA